GACCAGGGGCCAUUCAUGUGUUAUGUGUUUAAUAAUUUCAGUAAUGACAUCAGCAAUCUGGUGAAGCUCUCCAUCAGCUGUCGCCAGAAAAUAUAAUUCUGAGGACAUCUCCAUCAGGAGAAUACUACGAGGAAGGAUUGAACAUCAGGCUGACAUGCUGGGCCAUCUCCAGACCUUCUGCCCUGUUUUACUGGUUUUUGAAUGGUGUUAAGCUCACCCAUACUGGACCACAGCUCAGACUCAUGCAUGUUACAUCAGUCAGGCCUUGAAUGAUGAAACUCAGUGAAAUCAACCAUCUCAAGCUUCAGUUCAGAUCGCAGAUGUGUCGGUGAUUUCAAACCACAAAGUUUUGCUGGAGUUCAGCAGUUCUGUCACUCUGUCCUGCUCCUCCUCUGGAUCCUUCCUCUCUUCCC
This is a long non-coding RNA of Astatotilapia calliptera (eastern happy), 413 nucleotides long. The record is from Ensembl. NCBI's taxonomy places the organism in Eukaryota, Metazoa, Chordata, Actinopteri, Cichliformes, Cichlidae.